UACGAAGGGGGCUAGCGUUGCUCGGAAUCACUGGGCGUAAAGGGUGCGUAGGCGGGUUUUUAAGUCAGGGGUGAAAUCCUGGAGCUCAACUCCAGAACUGCCUUUGAUACUGAAGAUCUUGAGUCCGGGAGAGGUGAGUGGAACUGCGAGUGUAGAGGUGAAAUUCGUAGAUAUUCGCAAGAACACCAGUGGCGAAGGCGGCUCACUGGCCCGGUACUGACGCUGAGGCACGAAAGCGUAGGGAGCAAACAGG
This 253-nucleotide ribosomal RNA is filed under the name uncultured bacterium. RNAcentral's name for it is "partial 16S ribosomal RNA". It matches the Rfam family "Bacterial small subunit ribosomal RNA", at positions 524 to 776 of the family's 1533-position model. The record is from RNAcentral.